AGUGACUAGACAAGGGAAACGACU
This 24-nucleotide non-coding RNA is filed under the name Arabidopsis thaliana (thale cress). The record is from RNAcentral. Lineage: Eukaryota; Viridiplantae; Streptophyta; Magnoliopsida; Brassicales; Brassicaceae.